This 362-nucleotide long non-coding RNA is filed under the name Bos mutus (wild yak). Its description in RNAcentral is "lncRNA (ENSBMUG00000000412.1)". The record is from RNAcentral. Lineage: Eukaryota; Metazoa; Chordata; Mammalia; Artiodactyla; Bovidae.
AAGAAUUCAGGAGGACCUACUUUGUGGGAGAAAAGGUAGUGAGUCAUACCUGCGAACUUGGAAAUGAGAGUUUGCUUGUGCUUCUUCAUCCAGUUGGGAAGUUUCCUAGGCAACCAUUUAUGCAGCAAUUAAAAGAUGAGGAGUUAAGAGGAGAAAAUGGGAAAAACAGAGGUACCUUUAAUGGAACAGAAUAAACCACUGAACAGCUGUCAGUCUUCUUUGCCAUUUUGCUAAUGAUGAACAUCCUGCUGUCAAGAGUCUCCUGCUUCAGUGUGGCCCUCGCAGCGCGGCUGCUUUGUGGAGAAAACAGCGUGAGGACUGGGAAGUAGUAUUUGUUCCCACCUCCCGGACACCUUCCUGAU